RNAcentral lists this long non-coding RNA (201 nucleotides) under Dasypus novemcinctus (nine-banded armadillo). RNAcentral describes it as "lncRNA (ENSDNOG00000052519.1)". Lineage: Eukaryota; Metazoa; Chordata; Mammalia; Cingulata; Dasypodidae. The record is from RNAcentral.
AGCCAAACAGCUCGCCGUGAGGAAUCUACACUCACCCACUCCCAUCCCAUCCCAUCAUCCCGACAGAAUUAGUGUUCAGCAACAAGAAGCCAGGCUGUACCUUGAAGUCAGACAAUGAGGAGCGCAGAGGCCCAAGCACACCAAUGCUCUUCUUGAUUUCCACCAAACAGAGCUCUUCCAUUUGGAACACUGUUUCCACGU